Molecule: ribosomal RNA, 497 nt
Filed under: uncultured bacterium
Lineage: Bacteria
Description: partial 16S ribosomal RNA
Rfam family: Bacterial small subunit ribosomal RNA
Source: RNAcentral
GAUGAACGCUGGCGGCGUGCCUAAUACAUGCAAGUCGAGCGAACGGACGAGAAGCUUGCUUUUCUGAUGUUAGCGGCGGACGGGUGAGUAACACGUGGAUAACCUACCUAUAAGACUGGGAUAACUUCGGGAAACCGGAGCUAAUACCGGAUAAUAUUUUGAACCGCAAGGUUCAAAAGUGAAAGACGGUCUUGCUGUCACUUAUAGAUGGAUCCGCGCUGCAUUAGCUAGUUGGUAAGGUAACGGCUUACCAAGGCAACGAUGCAUAGCCGACCUGAGAGCGUGAUCGGCCACACUGGAACUGAGACACGGUCCAGACUCCUACGGGAGGCAGCAGUAGGGAAUCUUCCGCAAUGGGCGAAAGCCUGACGGAGCAACGCCGCGUGAGUGAUGAAGGUCUUCGGAUCGUAAAACUCUGUUAUUAGGGAAGAACAUAUGUGUAAGUAGCUGUGCACAUCUUGACGGUACCUAAUCAGAAAGCCACGGCUAACUACGUG